CCCUUAGAUGUUCUGGGCCGCACGCGCGCUACACUGAUGCAUUCAACGAGUCUAAAACCUGGUCUGAUAGGGCUGGGUAAUCUUUUGAAUGUGCAUCGUGAUUGGGAUAGAUGAUUGCAAUUCUUCAUCUUCAACGAGGAAUGCCUAGUAAACGCAAGUCAUCAGCUUGCAUUGAUUACGUCCCUGCCCUUUGUACACACCGCCCGUCGCUCCUACCGAUUGAAUGUUCCGAUGAAUACCAUGGACUGAGAGUAUGAAUGGGUUCGCCUAUUUCUGCUUCUCGGGAAGUGAAGUAAAUCUUAACAUUUAGAGGAAGGAGAAGUCGUAACA
RNAcentral lists this ribosomal RNA (330 nucleotides) under uncultured eukaryote. RNAcentral describes it as "partial 18S ribosomal RNA". It matches the Rfam family "Eukaryotic small subunit ribosomal RNA", at positions 1470 to 1796 of the family's 1831-position model. The record is from RNAcentral.